UAGGGAAUCUUCCACAAUGGACGAAAGUCUGAUGGAGCAACGCCGCGUGAGUGAAGAAGGUUUUCGGAUCGUAAAACUCUGUUGUUGAAGAAGAACGUGCGUGAGAGUAACUGUUCACGCAGUGACGGUAUUCAACCAGAAAGUCACGGCUAACUACGUGCCAGCAGCCGCGGUAAUACGUAGGUGGCAAGCGUUAUCCGGAUUUAUUGGGCGUAAAGCGAGCGCAGGCGGUUACUUAAGUCUGAUGUGAAAGCCUUCGGCUUAACCGAAGAAGUGCAUCGGAAACUGGGUGACUUGAGUGCAGAAGAGGACAGUGGAACUCCAUGUGUAGCGGUGGAAUGCGUAGAUAUAUGGAAGAACACCAGUGGCGAAGGCGGCUGUCUGGUCUGCAACUGACGCUGAGGCUCGAAAGCAUGGGUAGCGAACAGG
This 429-nucleotide ribosomal RNA is filed under the name uncultured bacterium. RNAcentral's name for it is "bacterial SSU rRNA". It matches the Rfam family "Bacterial small subunit ribosomal RNA", at positions 355 to 776 of the family's 1533-position model. The record is from RNAcentral.